GCGGAUUUUUCACCAAGAUUCAAG
RNAcentral lists this microRNA (24 nucleotides) under Aegilops tauschii. RNAcentral's name for it is "ata-miR5062b-5p". The record is from miRBase by way of RNAcentral. Lineage: Eukaryota; Viridiplantae; Streptophyta; Magnoliopsida; Poales; Poaceae.